This is a long non-coding RNA of Amphiprion ocellaris (clown anemonefish), 2154 nucleotides long. RefSeq lists it as uncharacterized. Lineage: Eukaryota; Metazoa; Chordata; Actinopteri; Pomacentridae. The record is from RefSeq and is a predicted model, not a curated record. The transcript has 4 exons.
CCCCGACCAGCAGCACAGGUGAAGGUCACUAACCAGCUAGCAGCAGCAGCAACUGAAAGAAAAGACACAAACUACCAGCAAACUACAGUAAAUAACCAUCACAAGAGCCACUGGACUUGGAAUACUAGACGACAUGGAAAGGUCGACAUGAAAGAAAGAAGAGAAGAACGAACUUCAUCAUCAAAACGGCGGACCACAUCUCUUUUGAGACAUGAUCCAGAAACAUGGAUCAACAAGGGUUCACUGUCACUGAAGUCGACCAAGGUGAAAGCAACAUUCCCAUACAAGUGGCACAGGAGAAAGGAGAGGAAAAUGGAGGUGCUUGAAAGUGGUCUGUCUUCCAAUAACCAGAGAGAAAAGAGAGUGUCUCAGAUGACAACAUCCCAGUGAGGAGAGUUGUGAGGCUUUGGAAGCAGAGAAUCCUGCAGCUGCUGUCUCCUGCUCCCACCUAGUGGAGGAAGAUGGGAAAUACAACAUCUCCAUCAGACAAGUUUGAGUCUUUUAUAGCUUAUUCAGGGUAAAGAGCAACAUGGACAGUUUCAUCAAAUAUUAGUCAAUUGGUUUAACGUCUAAUAUAUGUGGAGCUAACAGACAAAUCCAGCUGUUUGUUACCGGUUCUCCUAGGAUUCUCUUGACCUGGAUUACUGAUUAUUGACACAGAUAUCUUCUAAAAGUGGACAAAAUAUUAUUCAACAUUAUUUAAAUGCAGCUAAAGUGUAUUGAGAGGAUUGUUGGCAUGAAUCUGUCUGGAAACUUCCAGGCUAAAGUCCACAUCUGCUGUUUGACUACAGUUUAAGCAACUCUGUUACUGUGGCGCCAUCUAGUGACCACAUUCUGUAUUUAGUGCAUUUGAUUUCAGACGAAAAAUUUCCCCUUUCAAAUGUUUAAGAGAAAUACUGUGGAGUUUAGCAGUGAAACAUACAUUAAAAGUCUCAAGUAAUGCACUGAAGUACACUUUUAAGGCACCUGCACUUUGCGCAUGUGUUUUAAUUUCAGGCUACUUUAUACUUCUGUUCCACUACACCUAAGAUGGAAAUUGUACAAAGAAACCCAAGGAAUGUUAAUACGUAUGGGUAGUAGUUGCACCUGUUAUUGAUUAUAGGCUUGAGUGCCCAUUAACACAAACUAGUUAUUACAAAAGAAUUUUUUUCAUUCGUGCCACUUGUGAGGUUUCUGUUAACAGUGUAGCUUCAGUAGUAUCGCAUUAGUGCCCUUUUAUUAAGAAACCACAUUCUCCUGGGGUGUUUUAACAAGCAGAGUGUCUGUGCAUGUUUGUGAACAUUUAGUUUACAGUAAAACCUGUUCCUCCUGUGUCCUCAUUGGACACAGUGUUGCUGCUGACUGCAUUUCCAAACCAGCAGGAGUUUUAGAACAGAAACAUUGGGCUUCUUGUUACAGUUAUUUGAUUGCUGUCAGUAGUUCUAAAGCUACUUUACAAAUUAGGAUGUUAGCUUACAUUAAGUAAUUACACAUUGAUGCAUCAGCAUUAAUGACAUAAUUUUAUGGCAUUUAUUUGCAGUUUUGUUUUGCCAUUUUAAUUACAUUUUUGCAAACUACAGAAACUUAUGAACCUUUGCUAAAGUAGCGUUGUCAGUGCAGGGCAUUUAUGUACAGUCUUUACCAUAGAAUAGAUAUAAUGAUCAAUAGUAGAAUACUAAGUUCAUCAUUGAUUCUAAUAAAGGAAUGAAAGCUAAUUUUCUCCCACUACACAUUCUGCUAGAAGGAACCCUUUCAACAUUUUAUUGAAUAUAUACUUUAAGUUACAUAUACAUGUAUAUAUGUACAGGCACACUAUAUCACAGUUUGAGUGAAACUGUUUAAGUAAGGUUAUGGUGAGAGAUACUUAAGUAUCAGUGCAACUCAGUCAUGUUUUUUGUGGGAUAAAUGUUCUUGCUUUUUACGUUUUGUAAAUACUGACAAACUGAUUUUACAUUUGUGGUUUAUAAUGAUAAGAAGGAAAAGGUAAUAUUAGCUUACGGCUAGGCUCCCACAAUAUUUCAUCAGGAAUUGGUAUGCAACAUUUUAAACAUUAAGAUUUUCUUGAUGCAAAAAUCAUGAUUUUUAAACCUGUUGUAAUGUUGUAUUUAUGUUGAGCUCAAUAAACAAUGACAGUCCUAACAAGAGAGAGAGCAGUACUCCACCAAGGCUGCUCAG